This 460-nucleotide ribosomal RNA is filed under the name uncultured bacterium. RNAcentral's name for it is "partial 16S ribosomal RNA". It matches the Rfam family "Bacterial small subunit ribosomal RNA", at positions 338 to 795 of the family's 1533-position model. The record is from RNAcentral.
CCUACGGGAGGCAGCAGUGAGGAAUAUUGGUCAAUGGACGAGAGUCUGAACCAGCCAAGUAGCGUGAAGGAUGACUGCCCUAUGGGUUGUAAACUUCUUUUAUAUGGGAAUAAAACGUUCCACGUGUGGGAUUUUGUAUGUACCAUAUGAAUAAGGAUCGGCUAACUCCGUGCCAGCAGCCGCGGUAAUACGGAGGAUCCGAGCAUUAUCCGGAUUUAUUGGGUUUAAAGGGAGCGUAGGUGGAUUGUUAAGUCAGUUGUGAAAGUUUGCGGCUCAACCGUAAAAUUGCAGUUGAAACUGGCAGUCUUGAGUACAGUAGAGGUGGGCGGAAUUCGUGGUGUAGCGGUGAAAUGCUUAGAUAUCACGAAGAACUCCGAUUGCGAAGGCAGUUCACUGGACUGCAACUGACACUGAGGCUCGAAAGUGUGGGUAUCAAACAGGAUUAGAUACCCUAGUAGUC